RNAcentral lists this transfer RNA (90 nucleotides) under Devosia sp. SCN 66-27. RNAcentral describes it as "tRNA-Ser". It matches the Rfam family "tRNA". Rfam says of the family: Transfer RNA (tRNA) molecules are approximately 80 nucleotides in length. Their secondary structure includes four short double-helical elements and three loops (D, anti-codon, and T loops). Further hydrogen bonds mediate the characteristic L-shaped molecular structure. tRNAs have two regions of fundamental functional importance: the anti-codon, which is responsible for specific mRNA codon recognition, and the 3' end, to which the tRNAs corresponding amino acid is attached (by aminoacyl-tRNA synthetases). tRNAs cope with the degeneracy of the genetic code in two manners: having more than one tRNA (with a specific anti-codon) for a particular amino acid; and 'wobble' base-pairing, i.e. permitting non-standard base-pairing at the 3rd anti-codon position. Lineage: Bacteria; Pseudomonadati; Pseudomonadota; Alphaproteobacteria; Hyphomicrobiales; Devosiaceae. RNAcentral also lists the same sequence under 2 other names. The record is from RNAcentral.
GGAGAGGUGGCCGAGUGGUCGAAGGCACGCCCCUGCUAAGGGCGCAGACGGGGAACCGUCUCGAGGGUUCGAAUCCCUUCCUCUCCGCCA